RNAcentral lists this ribosomal RNA (447 nucleotides) under Vesicomya sp. mt-III. Its description in RNAcentral is "partial 16S ribosomal RNA". It matches the Rfam family "Bacterial large subunit ribosomal RNA", at positions 1809 to 2566 of the family's 2925-position model. Lineage: Eukaryota; Metazoa; Mollusca; Bivalvia; Venerida; Vesicomyidae. The record is from RNAcentral.
AAAAACAUGGCCUUUUGAGAAUAUAUAAUAUAAAAGGUUGGACCUGCCCAGUGGUUUAUCUAAACGGCUGCAAUGAAUAAUUGUACAAAGGUAGCGAAAUCAGUUGUCCUUUAAAUGGGGAAAGGUAUGAAAGGUUUGACGAUAAAGAAGCUGUCUCUUAAAAAUAGUGUGAAGUUUCCGUUUAAGUGAAAAGGCUUAAAUUUUUGAAAAAGACGAGAAGACCCUAUUGAGCUUGAUUAUAUUUUUUUUAUUAAAAAAGUUGAAGUUUUAUUGGGGCAAUAAGAAGCUAUAAGGAACGCUUCUUUUUAAAAUAAAGAUCCUCCAUGGGAGAAGUAAGCAAAAGUUACCAUAGGGAUAACAGCGUUAUCUUUCUUAAGAGUUCUAAUUGAGGGAAAGGUUUGCGACCUCGAUGUUGGAUUAACAUGUCUUUUUGGCGCAGCAGCUAAA